GCGCCCUUAGCUCAGCUGGAUAGAGCGUUGGCCUCCGGAGCCAAAGGUCAGAGGUUCGAAUCCUCUAGGGCGCGCCA
RNAcentral lists this transfer RNA (77 nucleotides) under Gammaproteobacteria bacterium. RNAcentral describes it as "tRNA-Arg". It matches the Rfam family "tRNA". From Rfam's summary of the family: Transfer RNA (tRNA) molecules are approximately 80 nucleotides in length. RNAcentral also lists the same sequence under 6 other names. The record is from RNAcentral. Lineage: Bacteria; Pseudomonadati; Pseudomonadota; Gammaproteobacteria.